CAGCCGCCGCGGUAAUACGUAGGUCCCGAGCGUUGUCCGGAUUUAUUGGGCGUAAAGCGAGCGCAGGCGGUUAGAUAAGUCUGAAGUUAAAGGCUGUGGCUUAACCAUAGUACGCUUUGGAAACUGUUUAACUUGAGUGCAGAAGGGGAGAGUGGAAUUCCAUGUGUAGCGGUGAAAUGCGUAGAUAUAUGGAGGAACACCGGUGGCGAAAGCGGCUCUCUGGCUUGUAACUGACGCUGAGGCUCGAAAGCGUGGGGAGCAAACAGGAUUAGAGACCCGAGUAGUCCCUGUCUCUUAUACA
RNAcentral lists this ribosomal RNA (301 nucleotides) under uncultured bacterium. RNAcentral describes it as "partial 16S ribosomal RNA". It matches the Rfam family "Bacterial small subunit ribosomal RNA", at positions 509 to 808 of the family's 1533-position model. The record is from RNAcentral.